AGCGAACGCUAGCGGCGAGCUUAACACAUGCAAGUCGAGCGGAGGGUUUCGGCCCUCAGCGGCGGACGGGUGAGUAACACGUAGGUUACGUGCCCUUUGGUGGGGAAUAACUUAGGGAAACCUGAGCUAAUACCGCAUAUGCCCUUCGGGUGGAAGUCUUCGGACGCCAGAGGAUCGGCCUGCGGCCCAUUAUUUAAUCCUUGUUGGUGGGGUAACGGCCUACCAAGGUACGAUGGGUAGCUGGUCUGAGAGGAUGAUCAGCCACACUGGGACUGAGACACGGCCCAGACUCCUACGGGAGGCAGCAGUGGGGAA
Molecule: ribosomal RNA, 315 nt
Filed under: uncultured bacterium
Lineage: Bacteria
Description: bacterial SSU rRNA
Rfam family: Bacterial small subunit ribosomal RNA
Source: RNAcentral